GAUGAACGCUGGCGGCGUGCCUAACACAUGCAAGUCGAACGGAGAUUACGGACGGAAGUUUUCGGAUGGAAGACUGUAAUUCUUAGUGGCGGACGGGUGAGUAACGCGUGGGCAACCUGCCCUAUACAGGGGGAUAGCAGCUGGAAACGGCUGGUAAGACCGCAUAAGUCGGCGAGACCGCAUGGUUUUGCCGGGAAAUGAGCAAUCAGGUAUAGGAUGGGCCCGCGUCCGAUUAGCCAGUUGGCAGGGUAAAAGCCUACCAAAGCAACGAUCGGUAGCCGGACUGAGAGGUCGGACGGCCACAUUGGGACUGAGACACGGCCCAAACUCGUACGGGAAGCAGCAGUGGGGGAUAUUGCACAAUGGAGGAAACUCUGAUGCAGCGACGCCGCGUGAGUGAAGAAGUAUUUCGGUAUGUAAAGCUCUAUCAGCAGGGAAGAUGAUGACGGUACCUGACUAAGAAGCCCCGGCUAACUACGUG
RNAcentral lists this ribosomal RNA (481 nucleotides) under uncultured bacterium. RNAcentral describes it as "partial 16S ribosomal RNA". It matches the Rfam family "Bacterial small subunit ribosomal RNA", at positions 28 to 507 of the family's 1533-position model. The record is from RNAcentral.